RNAcentral lists this ribosomal RNA (408 nucleotides) under uncultured rumen bacterium. Its description in RNAcentral is "bacterial SSU rRNA". It matches the Rfam family "Bacterial small subunit ribosomal RNA", at positions 509 to 916 of the family's 1533-position model. The record is from RNAcentral.
CAGCAGCCGCGGUAAUACGUAGGGGGCAAGCGUUAUCCGGAUUUACUGGGUGUAAAGGGGGCGCAGACGGCGAUGCAAGUCUGAAGUGAAAUCCCACGGCUCAACUGUGGAAUUGCUUUGGAAACUGUAUUGCUUGAGUGCUGGAGAGGUAAGCGGAAUUCCUGGUGUAGCGGUGAAAUGCGUAGAUAUCAGGAAGAACAUCAGUGGCGAAGGCGGCUUACUGGACAGCAACUGACGUUGAGGCCCGAAAGCGUGGGGAGCAAACAGGAUUAGAUACCCUGGUAGUCCACGCCGUAAACGAUGCAUACUAGGUGUUGGGGAGCAAAGCUCCUCGGUGCCGGCGCUAACGCAUUAAGUAUUCCACCUGGGGAGUACGUUCGCAAGAAUAAAACUCAAAUAAAUUGACGG